RNAcentral lists this ribosomal RNA (468 nucleotides) under uncultured bacterium. RNAcentral's name for it is "partial 16S ribosomal RNA". It matches the Rfam family "Bacterial small subunit ribosomal RNA", at positions 28 to 507 of the family's 1533-position model. The record is from RNAcentral.
GACGAACGCUGGCGGCGUGCUUAACACAUGCAAGUCGAACGGAAAGGCCCUGCUUUUGUGGGGUGCUCGAGUGGCGAACGGGUGAGUAACACGUGAGUAACCUGCCCUUGACUUUGGGAUAACUUCAGGAAACUGGGGCUAAUACCGGAUAGGAGCUCCUGCUGCAUGGUGGGGGUUGGAAAGUUUCGGCGGUUGGGGAUCGACUCGCGGCUUAUCAGCUUGUUGGUGGGGUAGUGGCUUACCCAGGCUUUGACGGGUAGCCGGCCUGGGAGGGUGACCGGCCACAUUGGGACUGAGAUACGGCCCAGACGCCUACGGGAGGCAGCAGUGGGGAAUAUUGCACAAUGGGCGGAAGCCUGAUGCAGCAACGCCGCGUGCGGGAUGACGGCCUUCGGGUUGUAAACCGCUUUCGCCUGUGACGAAGCGUGAGUGACGGUAAUGGGUAAAGAAGCACCGGCUAACUACGUG